CUACGGGGGGCAGCAGUGGGGGAUAUUGCACAAUGGAGGAAACUCUGAUGCAGCGACGCCGCGUGAGUGAUGAAGUAUUUCGGUAUGUAAAGCUCUAUCAGCAGGGAAGAAAGGCUCCGUAUGGAGAGAUGACGGUACCUGAGUAAGAAGCCCCGGCUAACUACGUGCCGGCAGCCGCGGUAAUACGUAGGGGGCGAGCGUUAUCCGGAUUUACUGGGUGUAAAGGGAGCACAGACGGAUCUGCAAGUCUGAUGUGAAAGCCCGGGGCUCACCCCCGGGACUGCAUUGGAAACUGUAGAUCUGGAGUAUUGGAAGGGCAAGCGGAAUUCCUGGUGUAGCGGUGAAAUGCGUAGAUAUCAGGAGGAACACCGGUGGCGAAGGCGGCUUGCUGGACAAUAACUGACGUUGAGGCUCGAAAGCGUGGGGAGCAAACAGGAUUAGAUACCCCCGUAGUC
This 455-nucleotide ribosomal RNA is filed under the name uncultured bacterium. RNAcentral describes it as "partial 16S ribosomal RNA". It matches the Rfam family "Bacterial small subunit ribosomal RNA", at positions 339 to 795 of the family's 1533-position model. The record is from RNAcentral.